RNAcentral lists this transfer RNA (75 nucleotides) under Thermoprotei archaeon. RNAcentral's name for it is "tRNA-Val". It matches the Rfam family "tRNA". From Rfam's summary of the family: Transfer RNA (tRNA) molecules are approximately 80 nucleotides in length. Their secondary structure includes four short double-helical elements and three loops (D, anti-codon, and T loops). Lineage: Archaea; Thermoproteati; Thermoproteota; Thermoprotei. The record is from RNAcentral.
GGGCCCGUAGUCUAGCGGUAUGAUGCCCCCCUGACGCGGGGGUGGUCCCGGGUUCAAAUCCCGGCGGGCCCACCA